GGUUGUGGGAGGAGUGGGAGGAGGGGAGAGAGGGAAAUAAUGUGAUUAUUAUAACCAAGGAAUAAUGUUCUAAAUUGACUAAACUCCUUCAAAUGAAAAAAUAAGGAAACAGAGUCUGAAAGAGUUUAAUAAGGAAGAGAAGCAGAGGCAUAGGUGAGAGAAUAGCAAUAAACCAGGGAUGAGGGGAGCCCUGGUGACAAAGAGGACACUGGAUUCUCUCUGUGGUCAAGGAGAGAUGGCAGUGAGAGGGGUAAAUUCACUCAGUUACCCAACUUCCUCAUAGGAGAGUACAGUGUCAAGGAUGACAAGCCUCACCUGGCUGAGAGUGAGGUUUGUUUGGGCCCCAUUGUCAUAGCAACAAGGGAAUGUUUGGUAACAGAGCCAGUGACUUCACAGAAGCUGGUCUUAAUUCCACAUUUCUGAAGCUCAUGGAAGAGCAGAGCCAGCCAGGAGAGAAUGUGGAGGCAGAGGAAGACAAUAGUUCCCUUGGAAGAGCUGUGACUAUGAGAAAAGUACUGUCCUGUAUCCUGGAGGGACACCAGAUGGAACCAAAAGACCAUGUUAUUUAAGUCAAUUAGUCAAAAACUAAAACCUUAAUUUACAAUGAAAAAAGUUUUUUAAAAAAAUAAACAAUCUAAAUGACUACUUUCCUGAGCCUGU
This 660-nucleotide long non-coding RNA is filed under the name Monodelphis domestica (gray short-tailed opossum). RNAcentral's name for it is "lncRNA (ENSMODG00000036830.1)". Lineage: Eukaryota; Metazoa; Chordata; Mammalia; Didelphimorphia; Didelphidae. The record is from RNAcentral.